Long non-coding RNA from Schistocerca nitens (vagrant locust), 405 nucleotides. RefSeq lists it as uncharacterized. The transcript has 2 exons. NCBI's taxonomy places the organism in Eukaryota, Metazoa, Arthropoda, Insecta, Orthoptera, Acrididae. The record is from RefSeq and is a predicted model, not a curated record.
GGAGUACGUUUGUUCAUAGAUUUUGGAUGAAUGUUUUUCAUAAAAGAGGCUUUAAAUAACACUGUUUGGCGAUCUUUGACAUGUGACUAUGCACUUCUGUAGUUUAGUUCAAUGUUUGAGAGACAUUCGAGACGUCAGGAUCCAACAGAAAGCGUGAAGAAGAGAAGGAAUUUGCGAAAGGCAGACGGAAGGAUCAUCUUUAUCGCUAUGAGACAUGGAAUUCACAUUACGUAAAGGCAGUCAACGAAGAAUUUGUUUGUAGUCACCUCCUGCAGUCACUGUCACAGUUCUCCAUAACCGAUGAAAGAGAAUGAUAUAUGUAGUCUGAAUAUGGUUUAUACUGCUUUGUAUCAAGUCUUGAACCAGUAAACUGAGGUUCCGAAUUGGAAACCUGUAACAACUCCA